AUAACAACCCAAGAGUAGAAAAAACCAAGUUGAAAUGAAUGUGAUGUUGUGUCUUUUGAGGACAAGUUUGUUGGGGUUGUAUUUUUCCGACCCGGGAAUAAUAGAAAAUGGAAUGAAUUUGGGAAAAUAAAUUUUACAAAAGAAAAAAACAAGAAAUUAGGGUUUGGAAUUGGUUCAGUGCGUGGAAAAUCUAAUGACGGAAGGCGUUGCGGUACUUUCGGCGUUUUUGGUUCCUUUU
RNAcentral lists this long non-coding RNA (238 nucleotides) under Citrus maxima (pomelo). RNAcentral's name for it is "long non-coding RNA (CMAX_LNC003179)". The record is from RNAcentral. Lineage: Eukaryota; Viridiplantae; Streptophyta; Magnoliopsida; Sapindales; Rutaceae.